GGCGCAGUAGCUCAGUUGGUUAGAGCGAGCGACUCAUAUUCGCUAGGUCGGCGGUUCGAUCCCGUCCUGCGCUACCA
This 77-nucleotide transfer RNA is filed under the name Rickettsiales bacterium. Its description in RNAcentral is "tRNA-Met". It matches the Rfam family "tRNA". From Rfam's summary of the family: Transfer RNA (tRNA) molecules are approximately 80 nucleotides in length. Their secondary structure includes four short double-helical elements and three loops (D, anti-codon, and T loops). Lineage: Bacteria; Pseudomonadati; Pseudomonadota; Alphaproteobacteria; Rickettsiales. The record is from RNAcentral.